UACGAUCACCGAAGUUAAGCAACGUCGAUCCUGGUCAGUAGCGAGAUGGGUGACCGUUUGGGAAUACCAAGUGCUGCAAUC
Acanthosepion pharaonis is the source of this 81-nucleotide non-coding RNA. The record is from the annotation of a GenBank genome assembly. Lineage: Eukaryota; Metazoa; Mollusca; Cephalopoda; Sepiida; Sepiidae.